GCUGCCAUCAGAGACUGGGAGACUGAGGCAAGCAGAGUCACAUCCUGAUGAGAGGGAGCAGCUCCUCUGCUCGCAGCCUGGUGCUUGGCCCACCCCAGUUACUUUGCAUGGGCUGUGCAGAGUGGCUUUCCAACACCCACUGACUCAGCUGUGAGGCUUAACAGAUGUGGCAGAACUGAAGCAUGGAAAGUCUGUCCACAGGAGAAACGUAUCAGCUAUCUUGAGACAUCAGAUGCCAACAGCUAUGAACCUCACUCCUCUUCUGAUACCUGCCUUGGGAAAAGCAUGUGAAAGCAGACUGAAGUUUUUAAGUGACCAUGGAUGAGGAAGCCCUACAGUACCGGUGUGCUACUCCUUUUCCCAGAGAUCUGCCAUUUUUCUGCACCGGCAGGAGAGUCUGUGGCCUUUGGAAAUGAAUCACCUUUAAAAAGGAAUGAUGACCAGGAUGACCUGAAGCAGGUGAAGAGGCAGUCAGCCCGCUCACUUUUUCCUUCUGUGCAGUGUCAUCACAAAACUCUUCACUGUUUUUUCAUCUGCUGUGACCACACAGUUAAGAAAGGCUCGUCAGCCCUCGCCAAGCCCAUCACCUAA
RNAcentral lists this long non-coding RNA (591 nucleotides) under Meleagris gallopavo (turkey). RNAcentral's name for it is "lncRNA (ENSMGAG00000020625.1)". Lineage: Eukaryota; Metazoa; Chordata; Aves; Galliformes; Phasianidae. The record is from RNAcentral.